GUGCUUGUUUUGGCAGCAAGUAUAUUAAAAUUAGAAUGAAAUAGGAAAAAAAUUAGCGUGGUACCUAUGCAAGGAUGACAUGCAAAUUCAUGAAGCAUUACAUACUUUC
This is a small nuclear RNA of Chrysemys picta bellii (western painted turtle), 109 nucleotides long. The record is from Ensembl. Lineage: Eukaryota; Metazoa; Chordata; Testudines; Emydidae.